RNAcentral lists this ribosomal RNA (465 nucleotides) under Vreelandella stevensii. RNAcentral describes it as "partial 16S ribosomal RNA". It matches the Rfam family "Bacterial small subunit ribosomal RNA", at positions 338 to 795 of the family's 1533-position model. The record is from RNAcentral. Lineage: Bacteria; Pseudomonadati; Pseudomonadota; Gammaproteobacteria; Oceanospirillales; Halomonadaceae.
CCUACGGGAGGCUGCAGUGGGGAAUAUUGGACAAUGGGCGAAAGCCUGAUCCAGCCAUGCCGCGUGUGUGAAGAAGGCCUUCGGGUUGUAAAGCACUUUCAGUGGGGAAGAAAGCCUUGGGGCUAAUACCCUCGAGGAAGGACAUCACCCACAGAAGAAGCACCGGCUAACUCCGUGCCAGCAGCCGCGGUAAUACGGAGGGUGCGAGCGUUAAUCGGAAUUACUGGGCGUAAAGCGCGUGUAGGCGGUCUGAUAAGCCGGUUGUGAAAGCCCCGGGCUCAACCUGGGAACGGCAUCCGGAACUGUCAGGCUAGAGUGCAGGAGAGGAAGGUAGAAUUCCCGGUGUAGCGGUGAAAUGCGUAGAGAUCGGGAGGAAUACCAGUGGCGAAGGCGGCCUUCUGGACUGACACUGACGCUGAGGUGCGAAAGCGUGGGUAGCAAACAGGAUUAGAUACCCUUGUAGUC